This 140-nucleotide unclassified non-coding RNA is filed under the name uncultured fungus. RNAcentral's name for it is "sequence contains ITS1". Lineage: Eukaryota; Fungi. The record is from RNAcentral.
UCAAAACAGCGGACUUCGGUCCUUGCUGCACCCUUGUCUUUUGCGUACCGUAUGUUUCCUCGGCGGGCUUGCCUGCCGGUUGGACAUUAUCUAAACCUUUUUGUAGUUGCAGUCAGCGUCAAGAAAACAAACAAUAAUUA